AGAGUUUGAUCAUGGCUCAGGAUGAACGCUGGCGGCGUGCUUAAUACAUGCAAGUCGAACGAUGAUCUCCAGCUUGCUGGGGGGAUUAGUGGCGAACGGGUGAGUAACACGUGAGUAACCUGCCCUUAACUCUGGGAUAAGCCUGGGAAACUGGGUCUAAUACCGGAUAUUGACGUUCUGCCGCAUGGUGGGGUGUUGAAAGCUUUUGCGGUUUUGGAUGGACUCGCGGCCUAUCAGCUUGUUGGUGGGGUAAUGGCCUACCAAGGCGACGACGGGUAGCCGGCCUGAGAGGGUGACCGGCCACACUGGGACUGAGACACGGCCCAGACUCCUACGGGAGGCAGCAGUGGGGAAUAUUGCACAAUGGGCGCAAGCCUGAUGCAGCGACGCCGCGUGAGGGAUGACGGCCUUCGGGUUGUAAACCUCUUUCAGUAGGGAACAAGGCCGGGUUUUGCCUGGUUGAGGGUACCCGCAGAAGAAGCGCCGGCUAACUACGUGCCAGCCGCCGCGGUAAUAC
Molecule: ribosomal RNA, 517 nt
Filed under: uncultured bacterium
Lineage: Bacteria
Description: bacterial SSU rRNA
Rfam family: Bacterial small subunit ribosomal RNA
Source: RNAcentral